Anguilla rostrata (American eel) is the source of this 395-nucleotide long non-coding RNA. RefSeq lists it as uncharacterized. Lineage: Eukaryota; Metazoa; Chordata; Actinopteri; Anguilliformes; Anguillidae. The transcript has 3 exons. The record is from RefSeq and is a predicted model, not a curated record.
GUCCGAAUAGAUGGAAUAGCCUGUCCAGGUACGUACAACACAUGGACUGAACAUGUUUAGAGCACAUGUACUCAACGCACUGUUUGAUCAUGUGUUAAGCAGAGGCCCUGGCUUCUUGGGUUCUUUGGGGACACCUCAGAGGAUGUGACUGUGAUAGUCCUUGUGACUGUGAGUAGCAGGGAGUUUAGGUCCCUGUUUCCUGUGACUGUAGCAGGGAGUUUAGAUCCCUGUUUCCUGUGACUGUGACUGUAGCAGUGAGUUUAGGUGCCUGUCUCCUGUGACUGUGACUGUAGCAGUAAGUGCCUGUCUCCUGUGACUGUGACUGUAGCAGUAAGUUUAGUGCCUGUCUCCUGUUUCCUGUGACUCUGACUGUAGUAGGGAGAUUAGAUCCCUGU